AUUGAACGCUGGCGGCAUGCCUUACACAUGCAAGUCGAACGGUAACGGGCCUUCGGGUGCCGACGAGUGGCGCACGGGUGAGUAAUACAUCGGAACGUGCCCGAUCGUGGGGAAUAACGAGGCGAAAGCUUUGCUAAUACCGCAUACGAUCUACGGAUGAAAGCAGGGGACCGCAAGGCCUUGCGCGGACGGAGCGGCCGAUGGCAGAUUAGGUAGUUGGUGGGAUAAAAGCUUACCAAGCCGACGAUCUGUAGCUGGUCUGAGAGGAUGAUCAGCCACACUGGGACUGAGACACGGCCCAGACUCCUACGGGAGGCAGCAGUGGGGAAUUUUGGACAAUGGGCGCAAGCCUGAUCCAGCCAUGCCGCGUGCAGGAUGAAGGCCUUCGGGUUGUAAACUGCUUUUGUACGGAACGAAAAGCCUUCUUUUAAUACAGGAGGGUCAUGACGGUACCGUAAGAAUAAGCACCGGCUAACUACGUG
RNAcentral lists this ribosomal RNA (482 nucleotides) under uncultured bacterium. RNAcentral's name for it is "partial 16S ribosomal RNA". It matches the Rfam family "Bacterial small subunit ribosomal RNA", at positions 30 to 507 of the family's 1533-position model. The record is from RNAcentral.